RNAcentral lists this ribosomal RNA (636 nucleotides) under Cosmospora coccinea. RNAcentral describes it as "eukaryotic LSU rRNA". It matches the Rfam family "Eukaryotic large subunit ribosomal RNA", at positions 92 to 761 of the family's 3401-position model. Lineage: Eukaryota; Fungi; Ascomycota; Sordariomycetes; Hypocreales; Nectriaceae. The record is from RNAcentral.
AGUGAAGCGGCAACAGCUCAAAUUUGAAAUCUGGCCCUCGGGUCCGAGUUGUAAUUUGUAGAGGAUGCUUUUGGUGCGGUGCCUUCCGAGUUCCCUGGAACGGGACGCCAUAGAGGGUGAGAGCCCCGUCUGGUUGGACACCAAGCCUCUGUAAAGCUCCUUCGACGAGUCGAGUAGUUUGGGAAUGCUGCUCUAAAUGGGAGGUAUAUGUCUUCUAAAGCUAAAUACCGGCCAGAGACCGAUAGCGCACAAGUAGAGUGAUCGAAAGAUGAAAAGCACUUUGAAAAGAGGGUUAAAUAGUACGUAAAUUGUUGAAAGGGAAGCGCUUGUGACCAGACUUGAGCCCGGUUAAUCAUCCAGCCUUCUGGCUGGUGCACUUGGCCGGCUCAGGCCAGCAUCAGUUCGGCGUGGGGGAUAAAGACUUCGGGAAUGUGGCUCCUUCGGGAGUGUUAUAGCCCGUUGUGUAAUACCCUGUACUGGACUGAGGUUCGCGCAUCUGCAAGGAUGCUGGCGUAAUGGUCAUCAGCGACCCGUCUUGAAACACGGACCAAGGAGUCGUCCUCGUAUGCGAGUGUUCGGGUGUCAAACCCCUACGCGUAAUGAAAGUGAACGCAGGUGAGAGCUUCGGCGCAUCAU